GACGAUUCUCUCUAUCUUGAGAUACUUUUCUCCCUCCUUUGGCUUCCAUGCUUCUCCUUCUCUUUCAUCCUAUCACUUAAACAAUCUUUUUCAACUUCCUUUCUGGGCCCCUUCCAUUUUCUUAUUCCUUAGAUUCUAUUUUUGGUAUUCUUCCCAUUUAUUUAAGCAAAGAACAUUUAUGAAGUAAUUACCAUGUAUCCUAGAGUGUGAAAAUCUGAGGGAUUCAAAAGUGCAUGCAACAAAGGCACUGUCUUGAAGACCUUGACAUUUAGUAGUGAAGAAAACUUAUAAACGUAUCAUUCCAACUGAAUUAUACUAGUAUUUCUCUUUUUCUCUACACAUUCCACCCGAGUAAUUUCACUGAUCCUCAAGACUUCAAAGCCACGGUAUGUAGUGACCAUCCCUGACACUUCUUCUCUACAUCUGUAUUUCUGACUCCUCACUGGACCCCUCUUUUUGGAUGUCCUCUAGGCACUUAAAACUCAAUGUAUCACACAUUAAAUUUUCUAUCAAUUCUCCUUUAAUCCCCUCCCCCAAAUCAUUGUUUAUCUACUGGAUUCUCAGUCUUAAAUGUUGCCACUUGUGUCAAUGUUUUUCUCAAUCUCAUAACCUCUAAAUUAUCCUUGACUAGUACUUUCUAUUUCCUCUUUUAUAUUGAAUUUGUUAAAAAAAGAAGUCUGCUUAUCUUCUUUGAAAAUGGCUUCUGUGUAUCAAACCUCAUUGCCACUUUCUUAUUUCAGUCCUAUAUCACCUCUCAUCUGGACAAAUGGCAAUAGUUUCAUAUCCUAUUUCCCUACCAUGUAGACUAGUGGAAAUCAAAGGGGCUUUGGAAUCUUUCAAAAUGAUUAAAAGCAUGGCUGCACCACUGAUUGUUAAGUGAUCUUGGACAGCUAACCACUCUAAGCUUCAGUUCGCCCAUGUAUGGUGUGAACUAAUAAUCUGAACAUUUCAAAUUCAUUGAGAAAAUCAUCGUAUAAAACAAUUCCUGGCAUAUAUUAAACGCUACAAAUGUUAGUUACCUUUUCCCUUCAGUUUAUCCUGGACAACAUGUAAGAAUCUUUUCCUUUGAAAAUUCGAUUAUAUUCUAUUGAAAUCUUUGUUGACUUCACAUUGCUUAUAAAUCAAACUCACCCGGAUAUUUUAACUCUGUUUUACUUCAACCUCAUUUCUUGCCUCUCCACUCCUGGCCCCUACUAAAUUACACCAACCUUCUUACCACUCUCUUAACUUUCUCAUGCCUUACCCCUACUGUUCCUGCCCCUUCUUUGGAAAGGUCUUCUCCUACUUUUUCUCUUGGUAAAACUCCUACUCAUCUUUAAGACCCAGAUCAAAUGGCAUGUCUUCUGGGAGUCUACAGUGACUCAUCCAAGAAGAAUGCCCCCGUGCUCUUGCAUCACUUUGUUUACAGAUAGUACACUAAUUUCUUGUGACUUUUCCUAUACGGACUUUAGUUUGCUAAACAACAAUAACAAGGACAACAACAGUAAUAAUUAACAUUUAUGGAAUGCUUACGUAUCUAAGGCAUUGUGCUGUGCCCUUUAUGUUGCUGGACCUCACUAUAACGCACGCAAUGAGGUAGAUGCUACUUUAUUCCUGUUUUACAGAUGAGCAAACUGAGAUGUAAAAUGUUUGCAGUUAGUCCUAGAUGAACCACUUAGGUAGAUCUCACUUCAGAGUCUAUGCUUUUAAACAUAUAUAAUCAUUUAUUCCAAAUAUCAUAUGUUGGUUCACAAACUCCCUUGAAAAUAUGAUAAAAAGUAAUUUUAAAAUGCCAUUUCCAGAUCUAUUUGCAUUAUCAGGUGGAUCAUGGAUCCUCUGAAACACUUCUUUGGACACUGAGGAAUCCAUUAAUCUGAAAAUAAGACCUCUUUCUUUACAGAUCAAAUUUUUAAUUCUAUAAUCUGAUGAACAAAUAUUCUCAUUUUUUUUUGUUUUUAAAUAAAAUCUACAUUUCAAAUGAUAACUUUCAGUUAUCUACAUGAUGUGGCAUCUAGGGAACUUCAAAUGCCUUAGGUUCCAUGGAACAAAAUAUGAAAAAUACUGGGUUAAGAUAGUGGCAUGUUCAAUUUCUCAGAAAAUGUUUAUUUCUCUUCAUGUUGGAAAGCAAAUUUGUUGUGAACUGUACCUAACUUUCCAUCAUCAGCUUUUGAAAGGGUUAUUUACACAAUGAAGCUUGGGUCUGAAUAUUUCAAUGAGGUUAGGAUUCAAAAGAAAAGUACAAUAUAUCUCCACAACCAAGGUAAGCAGGGAAAACUACUACUUUGUAUCAUGACAACUGAGCAGCAAAUAGCUGACAGGAAUGGAAAUGUGUUGAUCCAGAUCAUUGAGACCACCCCCAGAAACAUUGGCUCAUUGCUCAAAAAUGUGAAUUAUAACUUAAUCAGUAGACAAAAUGAACAAAGUUGUGAUUAUAUAUGGGUAGCAGAGAUUGCAAAUUGGUUGCCAGUGGACUAAAUUUGGUCCACAAAUGUGUUGUUUGUCAUGCAUAAUAUUUUUUAAAAAUUUAAGCCAGUAUUUAAACGCCAGGGUAUUUGUUUUUUACAUGAAUCUCUGGGUUUCCAGCUUCACUUGAAAAUUUGGAAGCUCUGACAACACUGGGUCCAUAUCCUCACAUGGCAAUGAUUGGCUAGAACUGAACAGCAGCUGUUCCCUCUACACAGGACUUGCACUUUCCAGCUCAGCACAGCCCCCAGCAGACCCAUUUCACACAUUUACCAUACCUGCCUGUCCCCUGUUGGCAGUCGUAACCUUAGAAGACUCGCCUGGAAAUCUGAAGAGUUUAUAGCAAAUUGUUAUUUUAAAUAAUGCAUCAUGUUCUGUAAUGUAAGACAAAAUCACCUUUUCUAAAGUGAAGAUUAGAGAUAUAUACUCCUAGAUAGUCACUGAGGCUGCUAUGACUCCCAAGAAAUGGUGUAAACAGAAAAAUUCCACAUUUAAUUAUUUAGAUUCAAAUCAGUUUGACUAUGGAGAAGCAAAAGACUUGAAUUUUAGUCUACUGGUCGAAGACAAAUCAAUUCGGCAGGUAGUAGCGAAGCAGCAUGGACUCUAAGCCCUCUGUGAUGAGUACGAAAUCAAAUCCAGAAGCCUAGCAUUCUAUCAGUGAACAAGGCCCCCACAACUAGAUGUAAUUGUUAAUAUUCAUUAUCUAUAAGAAAAACAGGGAAAGGAGGAUGGGGUUGGAGUGGAGAUCAAUUUUCUUUCCAUUCUCUCUAUAUUGGCAUUAUUUAAAUUUCUCUAUCACCUUGUAAUUAGAAACAAUAAUAUGAAGAGCAAAACACAAUGGGCAAAGAUUUUAGUUCAUCACAUUUUACAAGUCUUUGUUUUCUAGUCUUUUCUAGAAAUGAUAAUGAUACCAUGACUAUAACGGUCUGGUAGGUUAUAGUAUUUCCAGUUAUUCUAAAUCCUUGCAUUUCUAUAGGGUCUUGAAGGAAGUUUCCUCUUGAGAAAAAAAAAAUUAACUAUAUCACGGUUUAAUUGUUUGUGUUGGCUAAUGAAUAUAACACUAAAUUUAUAUUCCUGGUGCUUUGUUGAAUCUUAGAACAGAGUAUAUAUUAGAGAACUUGUUUGAUUUAGGAGGACUUUGAGUCCCUUAAAUUAUCAUGGAAAAACCACCUCAAAUUUCUUUGAUGUGUCACUCAUCUUUCAGCAGCCUUGCUAAUAUUAGAGCACUUCAUUUUUUUCCAAAGCACUUUCACAUACUGCAAACCUUUCUUUAGGUAUUGCAAUUAAGUCAAUUUUAGGAUAUUUGGCCUAAUGAAAGUACAAGCAAGUGUAGCUCAAAAAGGAGGGCAACUGACCCAGGACUUUUCUUUGUGGUUCUGCAGUCCAGAGGACUGAGAGAUUUGAUAAUGAUGAUAAGUAAACAGGAGAAAUGAUAGCUAGGGGGCCCCCAGAAAUGUGACAGUUGUCAUUUAUAUUAGAUCCUUACCAUUUAUGGAUCUGCCAUUUGAAAUCUGACUAUUCACAAACUGCCCCAAAAGUUUCUGAUAUUUAAAAACUGUGAGCAUUCCGUGAAGCUCAUAAUCUAAAUUAUUUUCUUUUGAACUCUGGUAACUUGGAGAGAAUCACUUAGUAUGUGAGGCUAGUCACUCACUGGGCAUCAAUGCUGUCUGUUGUUCUCUAACCAUCUCUGCAUACAAAGCA
This is a long non-coding RNA of Equus caballus (horse), 4143 nucleotides long. Lineage: Eukaryota; Metazoa; Chordata; Mammalia; Perissodactyla; Equidae. The record is from Ensembl.